RNAcentral lists this ribosomal RNA (257 nucleotides) under uncultured bacterium. RNAcentral's name for it is "partial small subunit ribosomal RNA". It matches the Rfam family "Bacterial small subunit ribosomal RNA", at positions 26 to 285 of the family's 1533-position model. The record is from RNAcentral.
AGGACGAACGCUGGCGGCGUGCUUAACACAUGCAAGUCGAACGGUAAGGCCCCUUCGGGGGUACACGAGUGGCGAACGGGUGAGUAACACGUGAGCAACCUGCCCUUGACAUUGGAAUAACAGUUGGAAACAGCUGCUAAUACCGGGUAUGACCUUUCAUCGCAUGGUGGGGGGGUGAAAGCCUUGGCGGUCAAGGAUGGGCUCGCGGCCUAUCAGCUAGUUGGUGAGGUAAUGGCUCACCAAGGCUUCGACGGGUA